AACGAACGCUGGCGGCAUGCCUAACACAUGCAAGUCGAACGAGACCUUCGGGUCUAGUGGCGCACGGGUGCGUAACGCGUGGGAACCUGCCCUUAGGUUCGGAAUAACUCCCCGAAAGGGGUGCUAAUACCGGAUAAUGUCUUCGGACCAAAGAUUUAUCGCCUUUGGAUGGGCCCGCGUUGGUUUAGCUAGUUGGUAGGGUAAAAGCCUACCAAGGCGACGAUCCAUAGCUGGUCUGAGAGGAUGAUCAGCCACACUGGGACUGAGACACGGCCCAGACUCCUACGCGAGGCAGCAGUGGGGAAUAUAGGACAAUGGGCGAAAGCCUGAUCCAGCAAUGCCGCGUGAGUGAUGAAGGCCUUAGGGUUGUAAAGCUCUUUUACCCGGGAUGAUAAUGACAGUACCGGGAGAAUAAGCACCGGCUAACUCCGUG
Molecule: ribosomal RNA, 433 nt
Filed under: uncultured bacterium
Lineage: Bacteria
Description: partial 16S ribosomal RNA
Rfam family: Bacterial small subunit ribosomal RNA
Source: RNAcentral